This 811-nucleotide long non-coding RNA is filed under the name Sinocyclocheilus anshuiensis. RNAcentral describes it as "lncRNA (ENSSANG00000037251.1)". The record is from RNAcentral. Lineage: Eukaryota; Metazoa; Chordata; Actinopteri; Cypriniformes; Cyprinidae.
UUUUUGUGGGAGGUCAGAAAGUUGCAUGGUGGGUCCUAAAGUGAUCCGAAUAUUUAAACCCUUGUUUAUUGUAUAAUUUGGUUCUAUGAUUUAACCCAGCACUGUCAGUUUAAAGACCUGGACAGCGUCUUAAGAAAGUCUGGUCAAUGAAACUUUGAAAGGCGUCCAACUGUCCCUAAAAAUAGCAAGUAUGGAUCCUGAAACCAUCGCCUUCUGUUUCCUUCCACUCUCAGUGCCGCAAAGAAGUGCAAUCCGUCAGGUGAUAAACACGUUUGAUGUCGCUUCUCUGUCAGCUCCAAGUUAGCAGAGUAUUAACCAGUAUUUCAAAGGGAAACCUUUGUGGUUCAAUUGGUGUUGAAAGCGCACAAAGUAAUCAGCAGAAUACUGGAGAAGUUUACUGCGUUUGUGGAAGACUGAACGAGGGCAAUUCAUCGGUCUUAUGCCUCUCUUCAUCGAUUAAACAGAGCUCUUAUCUCAUCACCUGGCACCUUUGUUUUGGAUUUGCCAAGAAUUUCCUAAAUCGAGAGUGGGUAUACACGACGGGUUUUAAUCUAAAUCGGGAUCUAUACAUCCAAACUGGGAUCUAUGAGCGGAAAAGUGGCUAAGCCUAAAGAAGAAAAGGAUGCUUCAAAGGCGGCACCCCGACUGCUGCAGCAUCCAAAUCCACUGAUGGUGUGACUGGAGGUGGAAAAAAAACAUCCUGUCUUGAUCUGCCAGACCCAAGUAAAUUAAAUAGCUGAAUAUGACUUGUAUAUAAAAGUUUUUUUUUGUACAGUGCCAUGUUUCAGUACUGUAGGUUAAAUUGUGCCAG